Molecule: unclassified non-coding RNA, 253 nt
Filed under: uncultured Phycisphaeraceae bacterium
Lineage: Bacteria; Pseudomonadati; Planctomycetota; Phycisphaerae; Phycisphaerales; Phycisphaeraceae
Description: contains 16S-23S intergenic spacer region
Rfam family: Bacterial small subunit ribosomal RNA
Source: RNAcentral
UACGAAGGGCCCAAGCGUUGCGCGGAUUUACUGGGCUUAAAGGGUGCGCAGGCGGACCCGCAAGUGUUUUGUGAAAUCCCACGGCUCAACCGUGGAAUGGCUUGGCAAACUGCGGGUCUUGAGGUCGGCAGAGGUCGCCGGAACUGUAGGUGUAGCGGUGAAAUGCGUAGAUAUCUACAGGAACGCCAAUGGUGAAGACAGGCGGCUGGGCCGAUUCUGACGCUCAGGCACGAAAGCGUGGGUAGCGAACGGG